This 552-nucleotide long non-coding RNA is filed under the name Mus musculus (house mouse). RNAcentral's name for it is "predicted gene, 47997". Lineage: Eukaryota; Metazoa; Chordata; Mammalia; Rodentia; Muridae. The record is from RNAcentral.
GAGAGCUGGGAGGAGCCAUAGGUACUGAAGGAUGCUGAGAGAGCUGCGAGGAGCCAUAGAAACUGAAAUCCCAGAACUACAGUCCCAGCUACCUUGUACGGUGCCUAGGUCCUGGCCCUGCUCCCGAUUUGGAAUUUUAUUGUGAAAAAGAAGAAAGAAUCCUCCCUGGCGUGGCAGGCAUCAGCAGAAAGAUCUAACUACCCCCCUCUACCAUCAGAGAAUGUUCAGAAGCCACAGCUGGGCAGCAGGGUCCUGAGAGGACAAACACCACUGUACACAGUUGACACGUGGUUCUGGCUGCAUAGUGUCUGACCUAGUCUGGGACCCUCUGGAGAUCUGGGAGUCACCCAGAUCUCACAAAAAACAAAAUAAAACAAAACAAAACAAAAACCCUCCCUACUCCUUCCAUUAGCCUAAUUAUGUUGCUGCUUCCUUGGAACAAAGAGCCCGUUGGCUGUGAAGUCAGAAGAAGGAGGAAAAAGAAAAAACAAAGCAAAACAAAACACUUGUCCUUCAUGGGACCAGCCAGUCUGAAGAGCAUGCUCAGAUCUA